This 439-nucleotide ribosomal RNA is filed under the name uncultured bacterium. RNAcentral describes it as "partial 16S ribosomal RNA". It matches the Rfam family "Bacterial small subunit ribosomal RNA", at positions 339 to 795 of the family's 1533-position model. The record is from RNAcentral.
CUACGGGUUGCUGCAGUGGGGAAUAUUGCACAAUGGGGGGAACCCUGAUGCAGCAACGCCGCGUGGAGGAUGACGCAUUUCGGUGUGUAAACUCCUUUUAUAUGUCAAGAAAAUGACGGUAGCAUAUGAAUAAGCACCGGCUAACUCCGUGCCAGCAGCCGCGGUAAUACGGAGGGUGCAAGCGUUACUCGGAAUCACUGGGCGUAAAGGACGCGUAGGCGGGUUGGAAAGUCAGGUGUGAAAACCUACAGCUUAACUGUAGAACUGCACUUGAAACUUCUAAUCUAGAGUAUGGGAGGGGGAGAUGGAAUUCGUGGUGUAGGGGUAAAAUCCGUAGAUAUCACUAGGAAUACCUAAAGCGAAGGCGAUCUCCUGGAACAUUACUGACGCUAAGGCGUGAAAGCGUGGGGAGCAAACAGGAUUAGAUACCCGGGUAGUC